GCCGUGGAUUUGAGUGCCUGUCAGUCCUCCUCUGGGUAAAUAGCUACUAGGACAAUUGCUGGAUCUUAGCGUAGUUCUAGAUUUCACUUUUUAUGGACCCUCCAUACUGUCUUGGUACGAUGCAUUUUAGUCAUUAAUGGAACACGUUUAUUGAUGCUCCUCAGGAAAUGAUGACUGAUAAAGCAGAGGAGUCUGCUGUCAGGCUCCAAAGCCAAAUGAAACGUCCUGGGAAACCCAUCACUCCUCCUCCGUCUAAGAAAAUGCAGAGGAUGGCGCUGCUGUCACUGAAAGAGAAAGGAGAGGAAGCAUCCCACCCCAGAGGCUCAGCCAUGUCCUUGGAAGAUGGAACUGAUGACUGAUAAAGCAGAGGAGUCUGCUGUCGGGGCUCGAAGCCAAAUGAAACGUCCUGGAAAAUCCGUCGUUCCACCUCCAUUUAAGAGAAUACUGAGGAUGACGCUGCUGUCAGAGAAAAAGGGAAGCGAGGGAGCAUCCCACCCCAGGGGCUCAGCCAUGUCCUUGGAAGAUGGUGAGGAUGCCUGUCGUCCCCUCCCCUUCCUUCCGGACCCAGGGGAGUUCUGUCCUAGCUCCUCUACACCAUGGGAACACUUCCCAUCAAGGUCACCAGCCCUGGGUGAUGCUGCCAUCAGUUUCUCAGCCCCACUGGACCAGGUGUUCAUUGUGCCCUUCCUGGAAAGGCUCCUGGCUUCCCAAACUCCACAGUCUACAUGUUUCCUUCUCCUUAUUGAACAUGCCUUUUCAUUCUUCUUUGUGCUCUCUUUCUAUCAAGACUCUUAAUACUGUCAUUACCCUUGAUUCCCUUGUUACACUGCCCCUCAUUCCAUACUGCCUCCUCCCUCAGCCACAUGCUCCACUAGCUUCUGAGCUUAUGUCCUGCUUUCCCACUUGACCCUAGGAGCCCAUCUGUUGCCAUGUGACCAGAGUCACCAUGUCCACGCAGAAAUUAGAUGAUGACAUGUGUAUCCUUAGUCUGCAG
This 994-nucleotide long non-coding RNA is filed under the name Canis lupus familiaris (dog). RNAcentral describes it as "lncRNA (ENSCAFG00845026696.1)". The record is from RNAcentral. Lineage: Eukaryota; Metazoa; Chordata; Mammalia; Carnivora; Canidae.